RNAcentral lists this ribosomal RNA (558 nucleotides) under uncultured bacterium. RNAcentral describes it as "bacterial SSU rRNA". It matches the Rfam family "Bacterial small subunit ribosomal RNA", at positions 338 to 916 of the family's 1533-position model. The record is from RNAcentral.
CCUACGGGAGGCAGCAGUGGGGAAUCUUGCACAGUGGAGGAAACUCUGAUGCAGCGAUGCCGCGUGAGUGAAGAAGGCCUUUGGGUUGUAAAGCUCUUUUGUAGGGGAAGAUAAUGACUGUACCCUAAGAAUAAGGUCCGGCUAACUUCGUGCCAGCAGCCGCGGUAAUACGAAGGGACCUAGCGUAGUUCGGAAUUACUGGGCGUAAAGCGCGCGUAGGCCGUUGAGUUAGUUAAUUGUGAAAUCCCAAAGCUUAACUUUGGAACUGCAAUUAAAACUGCUCGACUAGAGUUUGAUAGAGGAAAGCGGAAUACAUAGUGUAGAGGUGAAAUUCGUAGAUAUUAUGUAGAACACCAGUUGCGAAGGCGGCUUUCUGGAUCAACACUGACGCUGAGGCGCGAAAGUAUGGGUAGCAAAGAGGAUUAGAUACCCUCGUAGUCCAUACCAUAAACGAUGAUUGCUAGAUGUUGGAAAUUUAUUUUCAGUAUCGCAGCUAACGCAUUAAGCAAUCCGCCUGGGGAGUACGACCGCAAGGUUAAAACUCAAAGGAAUUGACGG